UGGGGAAUUUUGGACAAUGGACGAAAGUCUGAUCCAGCCAUGCCGCGUGCGGGAAGAAGGCCUUCGGGUUGUAAACCGCUUUUGUCAGGGAAGAAAUCCUUUGAGCUAAUACCUCGGGGGGAUGACGGUACCUGAAGAAUAAGCACCGGCUAACUACGUGCCAGCAGCCGCGGUAAUACGUAGGGUGCAAGCGUUAAUCGGAAUUACUGGGCGUAAAGCGUGCGCAGGCGGUUAUGUAAGACAGAGGUGAAAUCCCCGGGCUCAACCUGGGAACUGCCUUUGUGACUGCAUAGCUUGAGUGCGGCAGAGGGGGAUGGAAUUCCGCGUGUAGCAGUGAAAUGCGUAGAUAUGCGGAGGAGCACCGAUGGCGAAGGCAAUCCCCUGGGCCUGCACUGACGCUCAUGCGCGAAAGCGUGGGGAGCAAACAGGAUUAGAUACCCUGGUAGUCCACGCCCUAAACGAUGUCAACUGGUUGUUGGGAAGGUUCCUUCUCAGUAACGUAGCUAACGCGUGAAGUUGACCGCCUGGGGAGUACGGCCGCAAGGUUG
This 548-nucleotide ribosomal RNA is filed under the name uncultured bacterium. RNAcentral describes it as "bacterial SSU rRNA". It matches the Rfam family "Bacterial small subunit ribosomal RNA", at positions 355 to 896 of the family's 1533-position model. The record is from RNAcentral.